CCUUUAAUGGAGAGUUUGAUCCUGGCUCAGGACGAACGCUGGCGGCGUGCCUAAUACAUGCAAGUCGAGCGGAGCUUUCGCGGCGGAAGCCUUCGGGUGGAAGCUGCGAAAGCUUAGCGGCGGACGGGUGAGUAACACGUGGGCAACCUGCCCGAAAGACCGGGAUAACAUCCGGAAACGGAUGCUAAUACCGGAUAAGCGGACCUUUCGCAUGAAGGGUUCGGGAAAGACGGGGCAACCUGUCACUUUCGGAUGGGCCCGCGGCGCAUUAGCUGGUUGGCGGGGUAACGGCCCACCAAGGCGACGAUGCGUAGCCGACCUGAGAGGGUGAACGGCCACACUGGGACUGAGACACGGCCCAGACUCCUACGGGAGGCAGCAGUAGGGAAUCUUCCGCAAUGGACGAAAGUCUGACGGAGCAACGCCGCGUGAGCGAAGAAGGUCUUCGGAUCGUAAAGC
This 459-nucleotide ribosomal RNA is filed under the name Paenibacillaceae bacterium. Its description in RNAcentral is "bacterial SSU rRNA". It matches the Rfam family "Bacterial small subunit ribosomal RNA", at positions 1 to 431 of the family's 1533-position model. The record is from RNAcentral. Lineage: Bacteria; Bacillati; Bacillota; Bacilli; Caryophanales; Paenibacillaceae.